This 253-nucleotide ribosomal RNA is filed under the name uncultured bacterium. RNAcentral describes it as "partial 16S ribosomal RNA". It matches the Rfam family "Bacterial small subunit ribosomal RNA", at positions 524 to 777 of the family's 1533-position model. The record is from RNAcentral.
UACGGGGGGGCAAGCGUUGUUCGGAAUUACUGGGCGUAAAGGGCUCGUAGGCGGCCAACUAAGUCAGACGUGAAAUCCCUCGGCUUAACCGGGGAACUGCGUCUGAUACUGGAUGGCUUGAGGUUGGGAGAGGGAGUGCGGAAUUCCAGGUGUAGCGGUGAAAUGCGUAGAUAUCUGGAGGAACACCGGUGGCGAAGGCGGCAUCCUGGACCAAUUCUGACGCUGAGGAGCGAAAGCCAGGGAGCAAAGCGGG